CCUAGUGUGAAUUGCAGAUUCCGCGAAUAUCGAGUCUUUGAACGCAAGUUGCGCCCGAGGCUCGUCCCGAGGGCAUGCCUGCCUGAGCGUCCG
This 93-nucleotide ribosomal RNA is filed under the name Nipponolejeunea subalpina. RNAcentral describes it as "partial 5.8S ribosomal RNA". It matches the Rfam family "5.8S ribosomal RNA", at positions 61 to 154 of the family's 154-position model. From Rfam's summary of the family: 5.8S ribosomal RNA (5.8S rRNA) is a component of the large subunit of the eukaryotic ribosome. Lineage: Eukaryota; Viridiplantae; Streptophyta; Jungermanniopsida; Porellales; Jubulaceae. The record is from RNAcentral.